This 458-nucleotide ribosomal RNA is filed under the name uncultured bacterium. RNAcentral's name for it is "partial 16S ribosomal RNA". It matches the Rfam family "Bacterial small subunit ribosomal RNA", at positions 338 to 795 of the family's 1533-position model. The record is from RNAcentral.
CCUACGGGUGGCAGCAGUGAGGAAUAUUGGUCAAUGGGCGCGAGCCUGAACCAGCCAAGUCGCGUGAGGGAAGACGGUCCUAUGGAUUGUAAACCUCUUUUGUCGGGGAGCAACACACGCCACGCGUGGCGUUCCGAGAGACCCGUAGAAAAAGCAUCGGCUAACUCCGCGACAGCAGCCGCGGUAAUACGGAGGGCCCGAGCGGUAUCCGGAUUCAUUGGGCGUAAAGGGAGCGUAGGCGGGCGGUCAAGUCAGCUGUAAAAUCGCGCGGCUCAACCGCGCCCCGCAGUUGAAACUGGAGGACUUGAGUGCACAACAGGCAGGCGGAAUGCGUGGUGUAGCGGUGAAAUGCAUAGAUAUCACGAAGAACCCCGAUUGCGAAGGCAGCCUGCCGGGGUGCGACUGACGCUGAGGCUCGAAGGUGCGGGUAUCAAACAGGAUUAGAUACCCGAGUAGUC